RNAcentral lists this ribosomal RNA (253 nucleotides) under uncultured bacterium. RNAcentral describes it as "partial 16S ribosomal RNA". It matches the Rfam family "Bacterial small subunit ribosomal RNA", at positions 524 to 776 of the family's 1533-position model. The record is from RNAcentral.
UACGUAGGCAGCGAGCGUUGUUCGGAGUUACUGGGCGUAAAGGGUGUGUAGGCGGUUGCUUAAGUUUGGUGUGAAAUCUCCCGGCUCAACUGGGAGGGUGCGCCGAAUACUGAGUGACUCGAGUGCGGGAGAGGAGAGUGGAAUUCCUGGUGUAGCGGUGAAAUGCGUAGAGAUCAGGAGGAACACCCAUGGCGAAGGCAGCUCUCUGGUCGACCUCUGACGCUGAGACGCGAAAGCGUGGGGAGCGAACGGG